Esox lucius (northern pike) is the source of this 164-nucleotide small nuclear RNA. Its record names the gene U1. It matches the Rfam family "U1 spliceosomal RNA". From Rfam's summary of the family: U1 is a small nuclear RNA (snRNA) component of the spliceosome (involved in pre-mRNA splicing). Its 5' end forms complementary base pairs with the 5' splice junction, thus defining the 5' donor site of an intron. NCBI's taxonomy places the organism in Eukaryota, Metazoa, Chordata, Actinopteri, Esociformes, Esocidae. The record is from Ensembl.
AUACUUACCUGGCAAGGGAGACACCGUGAUCACCAAGGCGGUUCACCCAGGGCGAGGCUCAGCCAUUGCACUGCGGCUGUGCUGACCCCUGCGAAUUUCCCAAAUGUGGAAAUCUUGAUUGCAUAAUUUCUGUUAGUGGGGGACUGCGUUCGCGCUCUCCCCUG